This 1520-nucleotide long non-coding RNA is filed under the name Homo sapiens (human). RNAcentral describes it as "HSALNT0308943". The record is from RNAcentral. Lineage: Eukaryota; Metazoa; Chordata; Mammalia; Primates; Hominidae.
GGGCUGGCAAUAGUGGCUGGGUGGGUGGGAUCACAGGGAGGGUUUAUGGGGGGACAGUUCCGAAACCCAUGUACAAGCCUAGAAAGGGCGAGAUGGUUGGUUUGCCUCAUAUUCUCAGAUCAACAAGGCCUCUGAGACAUUUUUAUGGGCCAGGGAGGGAUGAGACUGAGUCAGAAGACAGAGCCUAGACACCUCCAAUACCCUUGCCUCAAAUAAUUAACAAAUCACAAAAGCAGGGUGGGAAAGGAGGGAGGAAAGGAAGCAGAAGUGAAGAGAGACACUGUUCUCCCACUCUCUGCUGGUUAGACCUAACAAGGUUAUGCUUCAUGCUGGGUUUCACAAUAGCAUCAACCUCAGCCUCAGAAGCAUGUCUUAGAACCAGUCCCCGGAGAUCAAGAACCACGUUCUUCUCUUCCUUCUCUCCAAAUCACUUCCUUUUAUCUAUUUUUCCAGCACAGCGAAUGAGAAAAAGGACACAGACCCAGGAUUCAGAAAGGAAAUGAGGACAGAGACUAACACUGUCUAAAUACAUAAAGGCAGAAGACAUUUUCUCAGCAACCCGGGGAUAGAUCCUUUUCCGUUCCACUGAAGCUUGCAGAGAAAAGCGGGCUGUGAGAAGCAAGGCCCCGGAGGGGAGGCAGACAGACCCUGAGCCGUGCAAAUUUGUGCAAAUGCCUGGAUUUGCCCCGAAGGCAGAGAGGGUGGGGAGCUUCAGAGACCAACAGGGGGAAAUUUGUACAUAGAGACAUGCAGAGAGAGGAGCUGAUGUGAAGGCAUGGAGAGAUUUUCAUCUACAAGCCAAGGAAUGCCUGAGCUACCAGAAGCCAAGAGAGAGGCAAGGAACAGAGUCUGCCUCACAGCCCUUAAAAGCAAACAACCCUGCUGACAUCUUACGUUUGAACUUCCAGCUUCCAGAACUGUGAGACAAUAAACUUCUGUUGUUUAAGCAACUCAGUUUGUGGUACCUUGUUAUGGCAGGCCUAGCAAAUUAAUACACCUUCUUACUAAAAACAACCAUAAAACUGCCAAAAUAUAUGAGGAAACUGUCUUUAGGUAUUUGGACAACAUGCGGUACGGGGCUGUGAUUCUUGAGAGGAAAGGAAAUGUAUGAGCUAAAUGAAAGUUAAAAGAAUCCAUCUGUAAUACAAGAAAUAUGAAAAGAGGUUCUGCUUGUGAAAUAUAUGUCAAAGGUGGCAAAAAUAGUAGGAAAAAAAUACAUGUAAUUUUGCAAUUGUAAGACUUAAAUAUUUUAUGGGUGGUGGUACAAUGUCAACUCUAGUCACUGUGAUCAGUUAAAGUGUCAUAUUUUAAUCUUUGUGGGAACCAUUUAAAAAAUACAAAUAAGGAUAGCUAAAAAGCCAACAGAGGACAGAAAAGGAAUACUAAAAAUAUUUAAUGAACUCAAAAGAAGGAAUGAAAGGAAGAAUGGAGGAACAACAAGAUGUCAGGAGAAAUAGUAAAUAAAUACCAGGAUGGUAACAUUAAAUCCCAGUAUAUCAAUAAUUAUAUUAAAUGUUAAA